This 76-nucleotide Y RNA is filed under the name Phocoena sinus (vaquita). Its description in RNAcentral is "Y RNA (ENSPSNG00000008298.1)". It matches the Rfam family "Y RNA". Rfam says of the family: Y RNAs are components of the Ro ribonucleoprotein particle (Ro RNP), in association with Ro60 and La proteins. Lineage: Eukaryota; Metazoa; Chordata; Mammalia; Artiodactyla; Phocoenidae. The record is from Rfam by way of RNAcentral.
AGCCGGUCCAAAAGUUGUGGGUUAUCAUUAAUCUUUGACGUGGUCUCACGCCACAACUACGUCUGACUGACUUUGU